AUUGAACGCUGGCGGAAUGCUUUACACAUGCAAGUCGAACGGCAGCACGGACUUCGGUCUGGUGGCGAGUGGCGAACGGGUGAGUAAUGUAUCGGAACGUGCCCAGUCGUGGGGGAUAACGUAGUGAAAAUUACGCUAAUACCGCAUACGAUCUAUGGAUGAAAGCGGGGGAUGGCAAGACCUCGCGCGAUUGGAGCGGCCGAUAUCAGAUUAGCUAGUUGGUGGGGUAAAGGCCCACCAAGCCAACGAUCUGUAGCUGGUCUGAGAGGACGACCAGCCACACUGGAACUGAGACACGGUCCAGACUCCUACGGGAGGCAGCAGUGGGGAAUUUUGGACAAUGGGCGAAAGCCUGAUCCAGCCAUUCCGCGUGCAGGAUGAAGGCCCUCGGGUUGUAAACUGCUUUUGUACAGAACGAAAAGGUUUCUACUAAUACUAGGAGCUCAUGACGGUACUGUAAGAAUAAGCACCGGCUAACUACGUGCCAGCAGCCGCCGUAA
RNAcentral lists this ribosomal RNA (500 nucleotides) under uncultured bacterium. Its description in RNAcentral is "partial 16S ribosomal RNA". It matches the Rfam family "Bacterial small subunit ribosomal RNA", at positions 30 to 523 of the family's 1533-position model. The record is from RNAcentral.